Molecule: long non-coding RNA, 1504 nt
Organism: Oncorhynchus gorbuscha (pink salmon)
Lineage: Eukaryota; Metazoa; Chordata; Actinopteri; Salmoniformes; Salmonidae
Exons: 2
Source: RefSeq, a predicted model, not a curated record
UUCUAAAAUGUGUCAGCAUAUCUCACCUGUCCUAAUCCUGUUCUUUAUAGUCACCUGUGAAACCAUGUGCUUCUAUAUCAUUAUUCACACGGAACAUUCCAGACUGGGGAAGUCUAACACACACACACACACACACGUAUACGUACACACACUGUACACACACAACCACGCUGUGUACACACAUGAGAUGUAAAGCGCCUCAUCAAACCGUGCCAUCAGCUUCCUGUAUAGUGAGUCUACUUGUCUGAGCCUCCCGUUCUUCAGCGAUCACAAUCCUUUACUAAAAAGGGAUAUUGUUUUUUCCAUCAACUGUGAAAAGAUAUAUCUAUAGAAAUCAUACAGAUUAAUAUAUGUACUCUCAAUUUAUGUAUAGUGUCCAUAUUCCCCCAUAAAAAAAAUAUUUAUACAUUUUGUAAAAAAAAAAACAAUAAAAAAAACUUCAGAAGAAAAAGAAUCUGAAAGAAAAACGGUGUCCUGAAGUUGAAGUGAAGUUGACAAGUUGGAGAUAUUUAUUCAAAACGACACUAAAGGACACCGCUGUGACUGUUUCCAAGAAAAAAAAACAACAGUCCCUUCACCUGCCCACUAUUACACAAUAUCAUUAAAUGUUCAACAAUGUAUCCAAUUUAAUGUGUUUUAACAUCAACAACAACAAAAAGAUUGACUUAUUUUUUUGGUUUUGUUUUUUAAAUCUGCAAUUUUCUGUGCAUUUGAGCCAAAUUGUUACAUGUACAAGAGCUAUAAUGUGUAUUUUAUUAAAUUAAUAUAUCGUUGUGUUGCAAUAUACAUGGGCUUUAUAUUGUAUUUUGAUGACCUCUCCUUAGUAGCUUGUCGAACUCUAUGAGUUUAAAUCAGUUUGGGGAUGUAUCCCGAAUAGCAACCUGUUUCCUGUGGAGUGCACUAGUUUUGACCAGGGCCCAUAGGGACACUCAUAGGGCUCUGAUCAAAACUAGUGCACUACGUAGUUUAUAGUGUUCCGUUUAGGACUCAAUCCUUUGGGUAUUUUUUUGUUUUGUUUUUUUUCCGUCUGUGUGUCCUCCUCUCUACUCAUUACGUCCUUUACAGGAUGGGUUUCACUGGUCUUUCAGGUGUGUCCUCCUCUCUACUCAUUACGUCCUUUACAGGAUGGGUUUCACUGGUCUUUCAGGUGUGUCCUCCUCUCUACUCAUUACGUCCUUUACAGGAUGGGUUUCACUGGUCUUUCAGGUGUGUUCUCCUCUCUACUCAUUACGUCCUUUACAGGAUGGGUUUCACUGGUCUUUCAGGUGUGUCCUCCUCUCUACUCAUUACGUCCUUUACAGGAUGGGUUUCACUGGUCUUUCAGGUGUGUCCUCCUCUCUACUCAUUACGUCCUUUACAGGAUGGGUUUCACUGGUCUUUCAGGUGUGUCCUCCUCUCUACUCAUUACGUCCUUUACAGGAUGGGUUUCACUGGUCUUUCAGGUGUGAUCUCCUCUCUUAUCCAACCUGAAAUCACAAUGAUUAUUAUUUAUUACAACACAAAA